RNAcentral lists this ribosomal RNA (489 nucleotides) under Tetragenococcus muriaticus. RNAcentral describes it as "bacterial SSU rRNA". It matches the Rfam family "Bacterial small subunit ribosomal RNA", at positions 86 to 562 of the family's 1533-position model. The record is from RNAcentral. Lineage: Bacteria; Bacillati; Bacillota; Bacilli; Lactobacillales; Enterococcaceae.
GGCUGCGGAGUGGCGGACGGGUGAGUAACACGUGGGGAACCUACCCAGCAGCGGGGGAUAACACUUGGAAACAGGUGCUAAUACCGCAUAGGACUUUUUUUCGCCUGAAAGGAAGUUAAAAGACGCUUUUUGCGUCACUGCUGGAGGGACCCGCGGUGCAUUAGCCAGUUGGUGAGGUAACGGCUCACCAAAGCAACGAUGCAUAGCCGACCUGAGAGGGUGAUCGGCCACACUGGGACUGAGACACGGCCCAGACUCCUACGGGAGGCAGCAGUAGGGAAUCUUCGGCAAUGGACGCAAGUCUGACCGAGCAACGCCGCGUGAGUGAAGAAGGUUUUCGGAUCGUAAAGCUCUGUUGUCAGCCAAGAACAGGAAAAAGAGGCAAUGCUUUUUCUUUGACGGUAGCUGACCAGAAAGCCACGGCUAACUACGUGCCAGCAGCCGCGGUAAUACGUAGGUGGCAAGCGUUGUCCGGAUUUAUUGGGCGUA